Molecule: ribosomal RNA, 534 nt
Filed under: uncultured bacterium
Lineage: Bacteria
Description: bacterial SSU rRNA
Rfam family: Bacterial small subunit ribosomal RNA
Source: RNAcentral
AAUAGAUACCCAGGUAGUCCACGCCGUAAACGAUGAGUGCUAAGUGUUAGGGGGUUUCCGCCCCUUAGUGCUGCAGCUAACGCAUUAAGCACUCCGCCUGGGGAGUACGGCCGCAAGGCUGAAACUCAAAGGAAUUGACGGGGGCCCGCACAAGCGGUGGAGCAUGUGGUUUAAUUCGAAGCAACGCGAAGAACCUUACCAGGUCUUGACAUCCUCUGACAACCCUAGAGAUAGGGCGUUCCCCUUCGGGGGACAGAGUGACAGGUGGUGCAUGGUUGUCGUCAGCUCGUGUCGUGAGAUGUUGGGUUAAGUCCCGCAACGAGCGCAACCCUUGAUCUUAGUUGCCAGCAUUCAGUUGGGCACUCUAAGGUGACUGCCGGUGACAAACCGGAGGAAGGUGGGGAUGACGUCAAAUCAUCAUGCCCCUUAUGACCUGGGCUACACACGUGCUACAAUGGAUGGUACAAAGGGCUGCCAAACCGGCGAGGUUGAGCGAAUCCCAUAAAACCAUUCUCAGUUCGGAUUGCAGGCUGA